GAAAUGCGAUAAGUAGUGUGAAUUGCAGAAUUCAGUGAAUCAUCGAAUCUUUGAACGCACAUUGCGCCCCUUGGUAUUCCAUGGGGCAUGCCUGUUCGAGCGUCAUUUGUACCCUCAAGCUCUGCUUGGUGUUGGGUGUUUGUCCCGCUUUCUCGCGUGGACUCGCCUUAAAACAAUUGGCAGCCGGCAUAUUGGCCUGGAGCGCAGCACAAUUUGCGCCUCUUGCUAUACGUGUUUUGGCAUCCAUCAAGUCCAUUUAUUUGCUCUUGACCUCGGAUCAGGUAGGGAUACCCGCUGAACUUAA
Molecule: unclassified non-coding RNA, 304 nt
Filed under: uncultured Dothideomycetes
Lineage: Eukaryota; Fungi; Ascomycota; Dothideomycetes
Description: sequence contains ITS1
Rfam family: 5.8S ribosomal RNA (bases 1-105)
Source: RNAcentral